UUGCCAAAGUGUGAUGCAUGCAAUGGAAAAUUGAACUCAACGUUGAGUCCCAGCCACGCGGCUGAAUUGCUAAUGCACUAGAGGAGGAUGCGAAUUGAAAGCAAUUAAAGACAGAUCAGGCAUCCACCAUUAUUGGCGAGGCUGCAAAUUCAAGGAGCAAAUAGUAGACAGAUGGGCCCACGGUUCUCCUCACACAACGCAGGCAAGUAAGCUUUAUCUGCUUGAAUCCAUGCUCUCUGUUCUAAAUCCCAUUAAAUUCUUCACCGAAUCCCCAUCAAAUCGAACUGAUUCCUAACAUCUGAAAAAACUAAUUUGAAGUGGUGUCUGUAGGGAAGAUGAUGCGUCUACCCACAAGGACCAUCUAUGGGCAGUCUGAUUAAAGGCUGUCUGUAGGGAAGAUGAUGCGUGUACCCACAAGGACCACCACGGAGUCGCCAUAUUAGGGCUUUUUUUACAACUGCAAUUAAAACAUCGGUCAACAAAUUCAAUUUAAUGCCUGUUCACGUUGAUUCUUACAGAAGGCUCGGUUUAUACGUGUUUUUAUAUGUCACCCCUUAU
RNAcentral lists this long non-coding RNA (558 nucleotides) under Triticum aestivum (bread wheat). RNAcentral's name for it is "long non-coding RNA (TAES_LNC023488)". Lineage: Eukaryota; Viridiplantae; Streptophyta; Magnoliopsida; Poales; Poaceae. The record is from RNAcentral.